RNAcentral lists this ribosomal RNA (253 nucleotides) under uncultured bacterium. Its description in RNAcentral is "partial 16S ribosomal RNA". It matches the Rfam family "Bacterial small subunit ribosomal RNA", at positions 524 to 776 of the family's 1533-position model. The record is from RNAcentral.
GACGGAAGGUGCAAGCGUUGCUCGGAAUCACUGGGCGUAAAGGGUGCGUAGGCGGCCGUGCAAGUCUGGCGUGAAAGCCCCGGGCUCAGCCCGGGAAGUGCGCUCGAAACUGCGCGGCUCGAGUGCCGGAGGGGAGAGUGGAAUUCCUGGUGUAGCGGUGAAAUGCGCAGAUAUCAGGAGGAACACCAAUUGCGAAGGCAGCUCGCUGGGACGUUACUGACGCUGAGACGCGAAAGCGUGGGGAGCAAACAGG